Molecule: ribosomal RNA, 253 nt
Filed under: uncultured bacterium
Lineage: Bacteria
Description: partial 16S ribosomal RNA
Rfam family: Bacterial small subunit ribosomal RNA
Source: RNAcentral
UACGGAGGGUGCGAGCGUUAAUCGGAAUUACUGGGCGUAAAGCGCACGUAGGCGGUCGGAUAAGUCGGAUGUGAAAGCCCUGGGCUUAACCUGGGAACGGCAUUCGAUACUGUCCAGCUAGAGUAUGGGAGAGGGAAGCGGAAUUUCCGGUGUAGCGGUGAAAUGCGUAGAUAUCGGAAGGAACAUUAAUGGCGAAGGCUGCUUCCUGGCCCAAUACUGACGCUCAGGUGCGAAAGCGUGGUGAUCAAACAGG